GGUGCUGAUGGGGAUGUAUCUGGAUCGCAUUUCGCCAUUGCAUUGUUCAACAAAUUACCCUGCGGCUAUUUAGAAUGUGAAUAGCGAUCUUCAGCGGCACCUCUCGCCCCCUAUGCAGGCAAAGCAAAGAAAGAAUGACAGAUCUCACAAGGAGGGUACCCCCCCUGACCGAGGACGUUUUCCUUGGUCUGGUUGAUGAGGUCCUUGAAGACCCGGUAGCCUGGGCAUUAGCCAGCCAAAGCCAGGACGUUCUGGAAAGGAUGUCCCUUACUGAGGACGCACAUCUUGCGGAGGAUGUGCGUGAAAAUCUCUGGCUGCUAUGAGAGAGGCUGACCGGGCAGAGGACUCAGCUGAUCGAGCCUCUACCGAAAGCCCCUUGCCAGAGAAAGAAGAGAGGAGGUCUCCUGUCCCUGGCUACGUCUCGUCCGUUGCCUCCCCGGAGGCACGCCCGGAGUGCCUGCCUUUGGGGGGGUUCUGUCAUGACCUGCUCGCCCGAUCCUCCUGUGUGCCACACCCCCCUCUUUACCUCGUGUUUAUUCUGGAUUGUGAUCACCUGUUACCUGUUAUUCUCGGCUUGUCCUGUGUAUUUAAGUGUGCGUCCGAGUUAGUUUCCCCAGAUCCGUCAUUAAUGUUUGUUUGUUGCUGCCCUGUGCUUCCCUGUUUUCCCCGGAAUAAAUC
Molecule: long non-coding RNA, 678 nt
Organism: Brienomyrus brachyistius
Lineage: Eukaryota; Metazoa; Chordata; Actinopteri; Osteoglossiformes; Mormyridae
Exons: 3
Source: RefSeq, a predicted model, not a curated record